Long non-coding RNA from Nannospalax galili (Upper Galilee mountains blind mole rat), 1164 nucleotides. RefSeq lists it as uncharacterized. The record is from RefSeq and is a predicted model, not a curated record. The transcript has 2 exons. Lineage: Eukaryota; Metazoa; Chordata; Mammalia; Rodentia; Spalacidae.
GGAGGAGGGGACAGGAAGUGGGGCAGGAUAGGAGCCAUUUCUCUGCAGGGAUCGACCUCCCCGCUCGCCGCUCCCAUUUACCCAGAAUCCAGGGGACGCCUGCCUGGGAGUGAACCAUGCUCGAUAUUUUCAUCUUGAUGUUCUUUGCCAUCAUAGGCCUGGUGGUUCUGUCCUACAUUAUCUAUCUACUCUAGUGACCUGGAGUUGUGGCCUGGAAGCUGCUGGGGCUACGAGGGGAAGGAUGGAGCUGAAGGGUCGAGCAUCCUGCUUGCUGACGCACUGGAGAAAUUUGCUUCUGGUCCUUAUUUCGGCUCCUGUCUUCAGUCCAACAAGAGGGCUCUUACCAACAGCAGCAGUCCUGCUGCCCAGCUGACUUCUUCCACAGCAUCUGGAUGUGGUUAACCCCUGGCAAGCAGGGACUUUGUGAAGCAGAGACACUCCCCUGGAACAUCAGGAGUUCAUGAAUGCUACUGGAGAUGCUGAGUGUGUUUGAGCGGUAGACAGUAUGUUGAGAAUACAGAAAGUUGAAAUGUAGAUGCAUUAAAGGCUCCACGGAGAACUGCCAAACAUUCAUGUGGGUAGCCUUUCCUUAGGUCUAAAUACAACUGCGCAUGAUGCUGAAAUAUGUUCUUUCUUUUCUGUUUCAUAGGCAGCUGUUCCCUUGUAAGUUCAAGGGCAAGUUCAAGUUGUCAGUCUUAUCAAUGUUUUUAUGAAUUGCACAAUCUAAGGUUGUGUGGUUUUCCUUCUCUCGAUCUCCAGUCAAAAGAAACAUGCCAUUUAAGUUUUAUUUAAGUUUUCAUUUCUUCCCUCCUCAUCCUACUUGUCUUCAGCUUCUCAUUUGAAACAUGAAGUAUUUAUAAAGUUCUCAUUAUUUGUACCUAAUUAUAAAUUAUUGAAACAAAACAGAUAUACGUAUUUAGGAAAGAAAAUUUACCCCAAAAGGGUUUAAAAACAUUUUUAAAAAUUGUCAAAUGUUCCUUUUCUGUGAGAAAAACUAUUAACAUAUAUCCCUGUCCAGUUAGGGUUGAAGAAACUAUAUUUUGGGAUUCAGAGUAGAUUUGGCCCCAAAUCUGUGGUGUUUGUCUAUUCUUUUGAAGAACCCAUCAUAAUUGUUCAACAUUUGAUUUUCUUUUCUACCUUAAAAAUAAACAAGGACAAAGUAAA